AUGCAGUCGACGGUAAGGCCCUUCGGGGUACACGAGUGGCGAACGGGUGAGUAACACGUGGGUAAUCUGCCCUGCACUUCGGGAUAAGCCUGGGAAACUGGGUCUAAUACCGGAUAUGAGCUCCUGCCGCAUGGUGGGGGUUGGAAAGUUUUUCGGUGCAGGAUGAGUCCGCGGCCUAUCAGCUUGUUGGUGGGGUAAUGGCCUACCAAGGCGACGACGGGUAGCCGGCCUGAGAGAGUGAUCGGCCACACUGGGACUGAGACACGGCCCAGACUCCUACGGGAGGCAGCAGUGGGGAAUAUUGCACAAUGGGCGAAAGCCUGAUGCAGCGACGCCGCGUGGGGGAUGACGGUCUUCGGAUUGUAAACCCCUUUCAGCAGGGACGAAGCGAAAGUGACGGUACCUGCAGAAGAAGCACCGGCUAACUACGUGCCAGCAGCCGCGGUAAUACGUAGGGUGCGAGCGUUGUCCGGAAUUACUGGGCGUAAAGAGCUCGUAGGCGGUUUGUCACGUCGUCUGUGAAAUCCUCCAGCUUAACUGGGGGCGUGCAGGCGAUACGGGCAGACUUGAGUACUACAGGGGAGACUGGAAUUCCUGGUGUAGCGGUGAAAUGCGCAGAUAUCAGGAGGAACACCGGUGGCGAAGGCGGGUCUCUGGGUAGUAACUGACGCUGAGGAGCGAAAGCAUGGGUAGCGAACAGGAUUAGAUACCCUGGUAGA
RNAcentral lists this ribosomal RNA (719 nucleotides) under uncultured bacterium. Its description in RNAcentral is "bacterial SSU rRNA". It matches the Rfam family "Bacterial small subunit ribosomal RNA", at positions 55 to 794 of the family's 1533-position model. The record is from RNAcentral.